AGCCCAAGGCUGAGAACAAGUGUGUACCACCACCUCCACCGAUGGGGACAUAUGGAUAUCAGGGGAACACUGGCAGUGUCCCCAAAGGAGUGAAUCCUUACUCUAUGAAAGCAGCAGGUCUAUGGGGCAGCAGAUACCCUACAAUGUAUUACAAUGAUGGGACCAACUCAAAGCCUCCAAGCCAUGGGCCUGGACUGCUUCCUAGAC
Long non-coding RNA from Salvelinus namaycush (lake trout), 207 nucleotides. RefSeq lists it as uncharacterized. The transcript has 3 exons. The record is from RefSeq and is a predicted model, not a curated record. NCBI's taxonomy places the organism in Eukaryota, Metazoa, Chordata, Actinopteri, Salmoniformes, Salmonidae.